GAUCAUGGCUCAGGACGAACGCUGGCGGCGCGCCUAACACAUGCAAGUCGAACGAGAGAGAGGGAGCUUGCUUCCUCAAUCGAGUGGCGAACGGGUGAGUAACGCGUGAGGAACCUGCCUCAAAGAGGGGGACAACAGUUGGAAACGACUGCUAAUACCGCAUAAGCCCACGACCCGGCAUCGGGAAGAGGGAAAAGGAGCAAUCCGCUUUGAGAUGGCCUCGCGUCCGAUUAGCUAGUUGG
This 242-nucleotide ribosomal RNA is filed under the name uncultured bacterium. RNAcentral's name for it is "partial 16S ribosomal RNA". It matches the Rfam family "Bacterial small subunit ribosomal RNA", at positions 15 to 252 of the family's 1533-position model. The record is from RNAcentral.